GACGAACGCUGGCGGCGUGCUUAACACAUGCAAGUCGAACGGAAAGGCCCUGCUUGCAGGGUACUCGAGUGGCGAACGGGUGAGUAACACGUGGGUGAUCUGCCCUGCACUUCGGGAUAAGCCUGGGAAACUGCGUCUAAUACCGGAUAGGAGCCAUUUUUAGUGUGAUGGUUGGAAAGUUUUUUCGGUGUAGGAUGAGCUCGCGGCCUAUCAGCUUGUUGGUGGGGUAAUGGCCUACCAAGGCGGCGACGGGUAGCCGGCCUGAGAGGGUGGACGGCCACAUUGGGGCUGAGAUACGGCCCAGACUCCUACGGGAGGCAGCGGUGGGGAAUAUUGCACAAUGGGCGGAAGCCUGAUGCAGCGACGCCGCGUGGGGGAUGACGGCCUUCGGGUUGUAAACUCCUUUCGCUAGGGACGAAGCUUUUUGUGACGGUACCUAGAUAAGAAGCACCGGCUAACUACGUG
This 465-nucleotide ribosomal RNA is filed under the name uncultured bacterium. Its description in RNAcentral is "partial 16S ribosomal RNA". It matches the Rfam family "Bacterial small subunit ribosomal RNA", at positions 28 to 507 of the family's 1533-position model. The record is from RNAcentral.